This 484-nucleotide ribosomal RNA is filed under the name uncultured bacterium. Its description in RNAcentral is "partial 16S ribosomal RNA". It matches the Rfam family "Bacterial small subunit ribosomal RNA", at positions 30 to 507 of the family's 1533-position model. The record is from RNAcentral.
AUUGAACGCUGGCGGCAGGCCUAACACAUGCAAGUCGAGCGGAUGAAGGGAGCUUGCUUCUGGAUUCAGCGGCGGACGGGUGAGUAAUGCCUAGGAAUCUGCCUGGUAGUGGGGGAUAACGUCCGGAAACGGGCGCUAAUACCGCAUACGUCCUGCGGGAGCAAGUGGGGGGUCUUCGGACCUCAUGCUCUCAGAUGAGCCUAGGUCGGAUUAGCUAGUUGGUGGGGUAAAGGCCUACCAAGGCGACGAUCCGUAACUGGUCUGAGAGGAUGAUCAGUCACACUGGAACUGAGACACGGUCCAGGCUCCUACGAGAGGCAGCAGUGGGGAAUAGUGGACAAUGGGCGAAAGCCUGAUCCAGCCAUGCCGCGUGUGUGAAGAAGGUCUUCGGAUUGGAAAGCACUUUAAGUUGGGAGGAAGGGCAGUAAGUUAAUACCUUGCUGUUUUGACGUUACCAACAGAAUAAGCACCGGCUAACUUCGUG